GCCUCCAGACCACAAGUCACAACAGAGAUUUGGGCAGGGGAAUCACUGCAAAGAGCAGGAGCUGGGUUAUUUCUACAAAGUGGCGAUCAUCUACAGAAGUGGAACUCACUCUCAUGAAGUGGCCUUUUGAAAGCACUGGUUAAAGGAUACCUUGCCAUCCUGUUAUUGCCCAAGCCCGGCAAGCCAUAACAGAAAGCAUGGGUGGCCUGCACUGCUGAGGACAGCUGAUGAGACCCAGAACUGGUGGUAAGCGCUAGAGCAAUUCUCUUCAGAGGAACAGAGUGAUGCAGAGAGAUCACCAGGGCAGGCAGCAAGGAGCUCCUGUUGGUAUGUGGAGGAAGAGCAACCAGGAGCAUCUCACUGCUCUAGCAGUGGACCUGUUUGCUAUCCCAGCUGCAGAGAAGCACUAAAUAUAUUUUCUUUUUUAAGAGAUCAGAGAAGGACAUAAGAGACUGAGAAGGAAAAAAAAAAGAGAUGAUGGUGUAUACACUAAAGGGCAAAUAUACUAUUGCUAGUAUAAAAGCAAAUAUAAUGUGGGCCUUUGUACUGAUACGGUAGUGUUUUCUGUCCUGCUUCAUCUCUGAAAAGGAAAACAAGCGACACUACAGAAGGGACAGUUUUGCUGGUAUAACAGCAUUUACACUAGAGGCUUUCUUCCAGCAUAGCUCUAAAAGCCAUGGUUGUACCCUUUCCUGCUCGGUCUGAAUUCACGGUGUCCAUAGGCUACAUCAGUAGCCAGACUGUGUCACUGUGAUUUGCCCAGGCACCCUGAUGUCAGGCUGGCUGCAAACAAUCUGGCUUUCAUCGAGCUCCCGUCAGGCCUUUCUGCCACAGUGGAGAACAGGUAGGUGACACAGGCAAAGGUGUCUUUCUAUGGCUUGACACCUAGGUGCAAGCUGCAUCAUAGUUCCAAUUUUCACUGUAUUGAAUCAUUGAAUAUUACUUUCUCACUGGCAAGGACUGCUAGUUUGGCUCAGUCUGAAGCAAAUGGUAUCAGUCUUGGAAGAAAUAGGCAGGCAGAAGAGAAGUUGCCAUUUUUAAGCAGGAAGAAAAACUGUUUUAUCUGCGCCACUGAUCCAGGAGAUGGCAAGUUUCAGGAUUAUUUAGCCACAGGUGGUGGGACUAUAUUGCUAUAUGGACCUGAGAGGCUGAACAAGAUGCACAGCUUUCCCCUCAGGAAGAGGCUGUAGUUGAAUUUGACUGAAGAUCUGAAUAUUGAUCUUUCAGUGCUGUAUAGUAAGACUGAAAAUCCAAAGCUCACGCAGAAGCGCAUUGCAAUUACUCUGAAAAAUGGCAACCCUCUGCUGCUACCAAGCAACUGUGAACCAAUCUGGGGAUAUCAAAUCAAUUCUGGGUGGUGGAAAUUUGGCUGCUUCUGAAAUGGUGCUUAACUAAACUACAAAUUCUAAGCUGUAAAUUACACAACUUCAAGUGUUUGUGCAAACAGAAACAUUGUUGGAAGCAGUUGUCAAAAAUUAAUCAAAUCACUACUGCAGAAAGAAGUUCAGAACCUGAAUCUCUGUGCAGUAAUUCCCAUAACAGAAUUGCUCCUGAUUCACAGUAAUGGGAGAUUGACAGGUCUUGCUGUAGAUCUCCUUGCCUGGCUUGUAUACCCAGCGCACAGGCAAGUUCUGCAUGUUUUCUACUGUUAGCACAUGGCAUAACUCUUGAAAUAUGCUCCAAAUUUUCAGCUGAUGAAUAGUGCAGCUGCCCAUCUCCUACACAGUUUGAGCAGCUAUUAGCACAUAAGGUUGGUACUUAGCUCUCUGAAUUGGUUUAUGAUAUGCUUCUGCAUGAAGGGUGUUAAUUAUAAUCCAAGGAUUGUCUCUUUAUGAAUAAAAAUAUUUUAAGGAAAUUAUAAAUAAGGGCA
RNAcentral lists this long non-coding RNA (1870 nucleotides) under Dromaius novaehollandiae (emu). RNAcentral describes it as "lncRNA (ENSDNVG00000016352.1)". The record is from RNAcentral. Lineage: Eukaryota; Metazoa; Chordata; Aves; Casuariiformes; Dromaiidae.